CAACCCUCAAGACCCCUUCGGGGGACUUGGUGUUGGGGACCGGCACAGGGGGCCCUGCCUGCUUGUCUCGCAGCGCCCCUCGCCGCCCCCGAAAUGAAUUGGCGGCCUCGUCGCGGCCUCCCCUGCGUAGUAGCACAACCUCGCAACGGGAAACGUGACGGCGGCCACUGCCGUAAAACAACCCCAAUUUUUAUUAG
Molecule: unclassified non-coding RNA, 197 nt
Filed under: uncultured Paecilomyces
Lineage: Eukaryota; Fungi; Ascomycota; Eurotiomycetes; Eurotiales; Thermoascaceae
Description: sequence contains ITS2
Source: RNAcentral